GCCAUAUCAGGGGAACCAGCCCCCAGUAUUUCAACGUAGUUUCUUUUCUAUUUUCCCUAAGUGUCAGCCGGUCCGGGAAAUAAAUGAGAAUGAGUACAAAGAGAAGAAUUUUACAGCUGGGCCACCGGGGGUGGCAUCACAUAUCGACAGGUUCCAUGAUGCCCACCUGAGCCGCAAAACCAGCAAGUUUUUAUUAGGGAUUUCAAAAGGGGAGGGGGUGUACAAAUAGGGAGUGGGUCACAGAGAUCACAUGCUUCAGUGGGCAACAAAAGAUCACAUGCUUCAGUGGGCAAUAAAAGAUCACAAGGCGAAGGGCAGAGCAAGAUCACAUGGCAAGAGCAAAAUUAGAAUUACUGAUGAGGGUCCAUGUCCCGCUGGGCACGCAUUUCUUAAUAAACAUCUUAACAGGAAACAGUGUUGGAGAGCAGACAACUGGUCUAACUAGAAUUUACCAGGCUGGAAUUUCCCAAUCCUAGUAAGCCUGAGGGCACUGCAGGAGACCAGGGUGUAUUUCAUCCCUUCUCUCAACCGCAUAAGACAGACACUCCCAGAGCAGCCGUCUAUAGACCUACCCCUGGGAAUGCAUUCCUUUCCCAGGGUAUUAAUUAUUAAUAUUCCUUGCUGGGAAAAGAAUUCAAUGAUAUUUCUCCUACUCACACAUCCAUCUAUAGGCUUUCUGCAAGAAGAAAAAUAUGGCUCUAUUCUGUCCUAUCCCACAGGCAGUCAGACCUUAUGGUUAUCUUUCCUUGUUCCCUGAAAAUUGCUGUUAUUUUGUUCUUUUUCAGGGUGCACUGAUUUCGUAUUGUUCAAACACACGUUUUACAAACAAUUUGUACAGUUAACGCAAUCAUCACAGGGUCCUGAGGUGACAUACGUCCUCAGCUUACAAAGAUAAUGUGAUUAAGAGUUAAAGACAGGCAUAAGAAAUUAUAAGAGUAUUAGUUGGGGAAGUGAUAAAUGUCCAUGAAAUUGUCACAAUUUAUGUUCAGAGAUUGCAGUAAAGAUAGGCAUAAGAAAUUAUAAAAGUAUUAAUUUUGGGAACUGAUAAAUGUCCAUGAAAUCGUCAAAAUUUAUGUUCUUCUACCAUGGCUUCAGCCAGUUCCUCUGUUUGGGAUCCCUGACUUCCUACAACAUGGCCACCUUUUUAUUUUUUUAAUCAUGGCUACUAGAAAAUUUUAAAUAACAUAUGUAGCACAAAGUAGAUUUCUCUUGGCUGUCAAUGGUACAGAAGUUCUGAAAGAUAUAAUUAACAGUUAAUUUCAUAGAUAUAUAUUUAACUCUCAUUUUCUUCAAACAUAACAUAAAGUUUUGCCAGGCGUGGUGGCUCAAGCCUGUAAUCCCAGCACUUUGGGAGGCCGAGGCAGGUGGAUCACGAGGUCAGGAGUUCUAGACCAGCCUGACCAGCAUGGCAAAACCUGAUCUCUACUAAAAAUACAAAAAAUUAGCCAGGUGUGGUGGUGGGCACCUGUAAUCCCAGCUACUCAGGAGGCUGAGGCAGGAGAAUUGUUUGAACCUGGGAGGUGGAGGUUGCAGUGAGCUGAGAUUGCGCCACUGCACUCCAGCCUGGGCGACAAGAGCGAAACUCCAUCUCAAAAAAAAAUAAAAAAUAAAAAUAAAUAAAGCUUUUCUAUACUCGUAGAUCACUUUAAUUAUACAGUUGACCUUGAACAACACAAGUUUGAACUUCAAGGGUUCACUUACACGCAGAUUUUCUUCCACCUCUGACACCCCUGAGACAACAAGACCAACCCUUCCAGGGCUGGGCAUGGUGUCUCAUGCCUGUAACUCCAGCACUGUGGGAGGCUGAGGCAGGAGGAUUGCUUGACCCCAGGAGUUUGAGACCAAACUGGACAACAUAGCAAGACUCCAAUCUCUACAAAAAAUUAAAAAUUAAUUGGGUGUAGUGGCUCAUGUCUGUAAUCUCAACUACUUGGGAGGCUGAGGUGGAAGAGUUGCUUGAACACAGGAGUUCGAGACCAGUCUAGGCAACAUAGUGAGACCCUUUCUCUAUAAAAAAUUUAAAAAUAACUAGAAUUAAUGAAAAGAGUGUUGGAUUAAAAACAGUGACAAAAUAGAUAACAUUUUACUUGUAUAGGAAAGAAAAAAAAGUGAAAAAUCUCAAAUGCCAAAUAUUAGAUAUACAAAAAUAGCCCACAUUUACCAAAUAUUUCCUCUUUGCCAGGCACUGAACUAAGUACUUGUCUUGCCCUAGCUCACCUCCUAGUUCAGUGUCCUUAUGUGGUCCGAGUAUUAUUAUCUCUGUUUUACAUUUUCCAUUUCAGGAAGCCAGGCACAGAGAAGCUGCAAUAACUUGUCUAACCAAGCUCAUCAUAAGAGUGAGUGGUAAACUGAGAUUUUAACCCAGAUCCUCUGGAUUUAGAUCUUGCCAUUUUAAAUCUAUACACUGCAGGGAGUAGUAGCUAAAAUUACACAUACAGGCCAGGCAUGGUGCCUCACGCCUGUAAUCCCAGCACUUUGGGAGGCUGAGGCGGGUGGAUCACCUGAGGUUAGGAGUUCCAGAGUAGCCUGACCAACAUGGUGAAACCUCAUCUCUACUAAAAAUACAAAAUUAGCCAGGCGUGGUGAUGUGCACCUGUAAUCCCAGCUACUUGGGAGGCUGAGGCCGGAGAAUCGCUUGAAUCCGGGAAGUGGAGGUUGCAGUGAGCUGAGAUAGCACCACUGCACUCCAGGCUGGGCAGUAACAGCAUACAGAUGGGCCGGGCAUGGUAGCUCACGCCUGUAAUACCAGCACUUUGGGAGGCUGAGGCGGGCUGAUCACUUGAGUCCAGGAGAUAGAGACCAGCCUGGGCAACAUGGCAAAAUCCCAUCUCUAUAAAAAAAACACAAAAAUUAGCCGGGCAUGGUGGUGUGCACCUAUAGUCCCAGCUACUUGGGAGGCUGAGGCAGGAGAAUCUCCUGAGCCCAGGAGGUGGAGGCUGCAGUGAGUCGAAAUUAGCCAGGUGUGGUGGUGGGCACGUGUAAUCCCAGCUCCUCGGGAGGCUGAGGCAGGAGAAUUGUUUGAACCACGGAGGCAGAGGUUGCAGUGAGCUGAGAUUGCACCAUUGCACUCCAGCCUAGGCAACCAGAGCAAAACUCCGUCUCAAAAAAAAAAAAAAAAAAGGUGGGUUCACUUCAUUAUGAACUUGUCCAAACCCACAGAAUGUACAACACCAAGAGUGAACCUGAUGUCAGCUAUGCUCUUUGGGUGAUAAUGAUGUGUCAGGUAGGCUCGUGGAUUGUAACAAGCAUGACUCCCAGGAAGCAUGUCAACUCGGAAGCUGGAUUUUGCUCAGAAGUCUCCUCUGCUCAGGGGAAACACAUCAUCUCCUUGUAUCUUAUCUCAGUAAUCAGGGGCAUGCUUCUAGGAAUCCAAAGAAACAUCCCAAGUGAUAGUGUGUACUCAGGACAGGAAGUUCCUGUGGUUUGGGGCUGCUGAGGUCAGAGCCUGGAAAGGGAAAGUGUACUAGAGGUUAAAGAACAUUUGCUUCCCAGGUCUGCAGAGCAGGUCAUUUUCUUAUCAUUCCCUGUCCUUCCCUCUCUAUCUCCCGCCUUCCUACCCUCUCCUGCCCCACCCUCCAACACAUCUCUGGGGCCUUUCUGGCCUCCUGUCAGUUUGAUCCUACACUGCUUUUCUCUUAGCAUGAAGGCAAGACUCAUUAUCAGUGCUCUCUCCUGUGAAAUAUAGAAGAAGAAUAAUCAUAUUUUCUACAGAAGGGUGUUGGAAGAAUUAAAUAGAAAUGCUUGUGUGGCUGGGAGCGGUGUUCACACCUGUAAUCUCAGCACUUUGGGAGGCUGAGGUGGGAGGAAUGCUUGAGCUCAGGAGUUCGAGACUAGCCUGGGUAACAUAGGAGACACCAUCUCUACAAAAAAUUAAAAAAAAAUCAAUCAGGUGUGUGGCUCAUAGCUGCAGUCCCAACUACUGGGGAGGCUCAGGUGGGAGGAUCACUUGAGCCCAUGAGGUCUAAGGCUACAGUGAGCUGUGAUCACACCACUGCACUCCAGCCUGGGUGACAGAGCAAAACCCUGCCUUAAAAAAAAUAAUAAAAUAAAAUAGAUAAAUAAAUAAAGGCCGGGCACAGUGGCCCACGCCUGUAAUCCCAGCACUUUGGGAGGCCAAGGCGGGCAGAUCACCUGAGGUCAGAAGUUCAAGACCAGCCUGGCAACAUGGCAAAACCCUGUCUCCACUAAAAAUACAAAAAUUAGCCGGUCGUGGUGCCGCGUUCCUGUAGUUUCAGCUACUCAGGGAGGCUGAGGCAGGAGAAUCGCUUGAACCUGGGAGGCAGAGGUUGCAGUGAGCCGAGACUGCACCACUGCACUCCAGCCUGGGUGACAGAGUGAGACUCUGUCUCAAAAUAAAUAAAUUAAUUAAAAUAAAAAAUAAAAAUAAAUACAUAAAAGUGGAAUUUUGGGGUCCUGUGGUAAUUCUGUGUAUAAAUUUUUGAGGAACCCCUAAACUGUUUUCCAUGGUGGCUGAGCCACUUGACAUUCUCACCAGCAAUGUAUGGGCAUUCCAGUUUCUCCACAUCCUCCUCGACACUUGUGAUUUUUCUUUUUUUUUUAACACCAUCCUGGUGGUGUGACGUGGUAACUCUUUGUGCUUUCUAUUUGCACUUUUCUAAUAAUGAAUGAUGUUGAGCUUCUUUUCAUGUGCUUCUUGGCCAUUUGCAUAUAUUGUUCGGGAAAAUAUCUAUUCAAGUUCUUUGCGUAUUUUUUAAAUUGGGUUUUUUGCCUUUUUAAGUUGUAAGAGUUCUUUAUAUAUUCUGGAUACUAGACUCUUAUCACAUAUGCAAUUUGCAAAUAUUUUAUCCCACUCAUAGAUUAUCUUUUCACUUUCUUGAUAAUGUCUUUUACUUUUUUUUUUUUCUUGAGACAGAGUCUUACUCUGUCUCCCAGGCUGGAGUGCAGUGGCACAAUCUCAG
Molecule: long non-coding RNA, 4919 nt
Filed under: Homo sapiens (human)
Lineage: Eukaryota; Metazoa; Chordata; Mammalia; Primates; Hominidae
Description: HSALNT0318791
Source: RNAcentral